This 106-nucleotide small nuclear RNA is filed under the name Neotoma lepida (desert woodrat). Lineage: Eukaryota; Metazoa; Chordata; Mammalia; Rodentia; Cricetidae. The record is from RNAcentral.
GUGCUCACUUCAGCAGCUCAUAUACUAAAAUUGGAACAAUACAGAGAAGAUUAGCAUGGCCCUGCACAAGGAUGACACGCUAAUUUGUGAAGCAUUCCAUAUUUAA